Long non-coding RNA from Gallus gallus (chicken), 1776 nucleotides. The record is from Ensembl. NCBI's taxonomy places the organism in Eukaryota, Metazoa, Chordata, Aves, Galliformes, Phasianidae.
CACAGCUCUGGUUCUGAGCUGUGUUUGGAAAAUCCUUCUGUCACAGCUCUGUUUAAAUAAAUACAACAAGCUCUCUAGGACUGUACGGUGAAUCUAUUCUAGUUCUUGUUGGCUGAUUUCUUUGGAUCUGCUAAGAAGGUGAUAACAUCAGUUUUGUUUCUUUUUAACGCUUUAAAGGAAGCUUUGUGUGAUUUUUGCCAAUGCUGUGAGAAGUUUAGAAAAGAGGUAGGGAGGUGAUUUGAACUGUGGCUUCCACACCUCUUUUUGAGGGACCACAACAGGGUCUGGUUGUGCAGCACCUAGGUCAGAUUCUGCUGCCCAUAUUAUGCAGGCAGCCUCCAGCCUUCAAAUGGACUGCGCCACAGAGCUUGAGAGCAAUGGGCAGCUCUGAGAAAACCGGAUGGUUUUAACCCUGAGUGCAGUCUGAAAACCAAAUGGUCCAAAUAGCUGCAGAAUGAUUAAUAGUCCCAAAAUGCCUGAAGCAAAGAGCAAGAUGGCAGCCACAGCCACUUGGGAUCUGUGAGAUCUGAAUUUUCCCAGGGAUCUGCUGGAGGGUAUGGCCUGUGGACCUGUACAUCUUGGUGGUCUGUGGCAGAGCAAAUCUCAACUUGAUCAAAUCAGCAGCAGAGCCUCAAGAAUUACGUGGGCACGUAAUGACCACUGAUUUCGUGAAACUGGUGCUAACGAGUGCUGGUUCCCAGAGCUCAGCUCAUUGCAUCAAGCAGCGAUGGCACUUGCUUUCUAAAGACACAAACAAUCCUUGGACUGGAUUCGGUAGGGAACACGUGCCAGCUCUUUUUGAAACAGCCUCCCCAGCAACAGCAGAUUUUGCCCAUCUUCCUUCCAUUUAUUUUGUUUUUGUAAAUAACGACGACGACCCCAGAGCUGUGUGGAUGUCCAGGCGGCACCUUACUGGCAUCCUCAGCAGACGGGGUGCUGUCAGUUUGUGCUCUGCGUGCCAGUGAGGUGUGCUCCCCUCCACCUGUGACUGUGGGAAGAAACAGGAACAUACCUGUAGACUGAAGAAAGAAAAGGGGACCCAAUCCUGCAUUUUGUAAGAUUAUCUUAUUAAAAGUAAUUUUAAAAAGCAGGGUUUUUCUUCUGCUUGCUGGUUCUGUGGUUUUUAUUUUUGCUUUUGCCUAUUCUGACCAAAACAGAAAAAAAAACCUCAACAUUGGAGACUAAAACUGGGCCCCAACCUUUGGGCAGCUCUCAGCACGGUUAGCACUUGGGAAGGGCUGGAAAAUGAGGGGCUCUGCAAGGAGAUAAAAUGUAGGAAUCAAAACAACGAACAGAACAAGCCAGAGCACUGGCCAGGCAGGGCACUUGUGGGAAGGCUCAGAAUGGAAAUGCUGAGGAAAUCUCAUUUCUGAAAUUCACUCCUGGAAACAUCAGUGAGUGACAGACACCAAAAACGAGGGGGCACCGCGUGUCUUGAAAGCACGGCACAAAUCUACACCUGUUUUGCUGCUUUCCAGAAAGUGUCGGGCACGGGGCAGGGAAUAAUACACCAUCCUCUCAAGCCUUCAUUUCGCAGCACCCUAAAAUAUACCACUGUCAUGGAAAAGAAAAUCAAGUGAAUAAACGUCCCAAUUUAUAUAUAUUUGAAUAGGUAACGAGAACAAUUUUACUGUUUGCCAUAAAUGAAAAAAAAAAACCACCAAAUCACUGCUCUGAUUGAGGUUCUGAAGCUCUGUUUAUGGCUGCAAAGCGAUUUGGUACAAAAAAAAAAGAAAAAAAGAAAAAAAGAAAAAAAAAAGAAUUACACAUUUUGAG